Molecule: ribosomal RNA, 1274 nt
Filed under: metagenome
Description: SSU rRNA
Rfam family: Eukaryotic small subunit ribosomal RNA
Source: RNAcentral
GCAGAAUUCUGCGAUAAAUCAUUCAAGUUUCUGCCCUAUCAGCUUUGGAUGGUAGUGUAUUGGACUACCAUGGCAGUCACGGGUAACGGAGAAUUAGGGUUCGAUUCCGGAGAGGGAGCCUGAGAAACGGCUACCACAUCUACGGAAGGCAGCAGGCGCGCAAAUUGCCCAAUCCUGACACGGGGAGGCAGUGACAAGAAAUAACAACUCUUGGAUUUCUAAGAAGUGUAAUGAGGAUAAUUUACAACCCUUACCGAAAGCAAUUGGAGGGCAAGUCUGGUGCCAGCAGCCGCGGUAAUUCCAGCUCCAAUAGCGUAUAUUAAAGUUGUUGCAGUUAAAAAGCUCGUAGUUGAAGUUCUGAUUGUUCGGGCCUCGCGCUUUAUAGCCGAGGAAUCGACAGUCAUCCGCUUGCAAAUAUAUGUUCGCCUUUAACCGGGUGGCUAUAUGAGUAAGCAAUUUACCUUGAGAAAAACAGAGUGUUCCAGGCAGGUUUGUCCGGAAUGCAUUAGCAUGGAAUAAUAGAAUAUGACUGAAGUCAAUUUAUUGGUUUAAGGCUUAGUAAUGAUUAAUAGGAACAGUCGGGGGCAUUGGUACUUAACAGUCAGAGGUGAAAUUCUAGGAUUUGUUAAAGACUAACAAAUGCGAAAGCAUUUGCCAAGGAUGUUUUCAUUAAUCAAGAACGAAAGUUAGGGGAUCAAAGACGAUCAGAUACCGUCCUAGUCUUAACUAUAAACUAUACCGACUCGGAUUCAGAUGAAUCAAAAAGUUCAUUUGGGACCGUAGGAGAAAUCAAAGUUUUUGGGUUCUGGGGGAAGUAUGGUCGCAAGGCUGAAACUUAAAGGAAUUGACGGUUUUGCACCACCAUGGAGUGGAGUUUGCGGCUUAAUUUGACCCAACACUGGGAAACUCAUCAGGGCAAGAAGAUUUUAGGAUUGACAGAUUGAGAGUUCUUUCUUGAUUGGUCUAGUGGUGGUGCAUGGCCGUUCUUAGUUGGUGGAGUGAUUUGUCUGGUUAAUUCCGUUAACGAACGAGACCUUAACCUGCUAACUAGUAUCUAUAUCCCAAAUAUAGACUACUUCUUAGAGGGACUAUGUGAUGUAAUCACAUGGAAGUUUGAGGCAAUAACAGGUCUGUGAUGCCCUUAGAUGUCCUGAGCUGCACGCGUACUACAAUGGCACUUUCAACGAGCAUUUCCUGAUCCGAAAGGAUUUGGGUAAUCUUUUUAGUGAGUGCCGUGAUUGGGAUAGAUCUUUGUAAUUAUGGAUCUUGAACUA